ACGAACGCUGGCGGCGUGCCUAAUACAUGCAAGUAGAACGCUGAAGGAGGAGCUUGCUUCUCUGGAUGAGUUGCGAACGGGUGAGUAACGCGUAGGUAACCUGCCUGGUAGCGGGGGAUAACUAUUGGAAACGAUAGCUAAUGCCGCAUAAGAGUAGAUGUUGCAUGACAUUUGCUUAAAAGGUGCAAUUGCAUCACUACCAGAUGGACCUGCGUUGUAUUAGCUAGUUGGUGGGGUAACGGCUCACCAAGGCGACGAUACAUAGCCGACCUGAGAGGGUGAUCGGCCACACUGGGACUGAGACACGGCCCAGACUCCUACGGGAGGCAGCAGUAGGGAAUCUUCGGCAAUGGACGGAAGUCUGACCGAGCAACGCCGCGUGAGUGAAGAAGGUUUUCGGAUCGUAAAGCUCUGUUGUAAGAGAAGAACGAGUGUGAGAGUGGAAAGUUCACACUGUGACGGUAUCUUACCAGAAAGGGACGGCUAACUACGUG
RNAcentral lists this ribosomal RNA (494 nucleotides) under uncultured bacterium. RNAcentral describes it as "partial 16S ribosomal RNA". It matches the Rfam family "Bacterial small subunit ribosomal RNA", at positions 29 to 507 of the family's 1533-position model. The record is from RNAcentral.